This 468-nucleotide ribosomal RNA is filed under the name uncultured bacterium. RNAcentral's name for it is "partial 16S ribosomal RNA". It matches the Rfam family "Bacterial small subunit ribosomal RNA", at positions 28 to 507 of the family's 1533-position model. The record is from RNAcentral.
GACGAACGCUGGCGGCGUGCUUAACACAUGCAAGUCGAACGGAAAGGCCCUGCUUUUGUGGGGUGCUCGAGUGGCGAACGGGUGAGUAACACGUGAGUAACCUGCCCUUGACUUUGGGAUAACUUCAGGAAACUGGGGCUAAUACCGGAUAGGAGCUCCUGCUGCAUGGUGGGGGUUGGAAAGUUUCGGCGGUUGGGGAUGGACUCGCGGCUUAUCAGCUUGUUGGUGGGGUAGUGGCUUACCAAGGCUUUGACGGGUGGCCGGCCUGAGAGGGUGACCGGCCACAUUGGGACUGAGAUACGGCCCAGACUCCUACGGGAGGCAGCAGUGGGGAAUAUUGCACAAUGGGCGGAAGCCUGAUGCAGCAACGCCGCGUGCGGGAUGACGGGCUUCGGGUUGUAAACCGCUUUCGCCUGUGACGAAGCGUGAGUGACGGUAAUGGGUAAAGAAGCACCGGCUAACUACGUG